CUACUAACCAAGUGUGUGUGUGUGUAUAAAAUAAUGUAAAAGGUAGACAGUUGUUAAUUUUUUUUUAAGUUAAAUGUAUAGUUUAGUAUCCAUCUGUUUUGUUGUGUCAGAAAUUAUUAACAAUACAAAUGGUUUAUUAUUAAUCUUAAAUAAUAACAAAGCUUGAACAUUUGAUUUUGUUUAAAAGACAUUUUUAAUACUCAAUUUCACAACUAAACAAAGAAAAUCUUUUUCUCAAAGAUCAAUUCUAUAGUAGAGUGAAAAAACAAAAAGGACAAAUUUUAAUAAAGUGUUUUUGUCCUCUUAAAUAGCAAAAGCAUAACACACUAGCUGUACCUACUCCAAAAUAAAUACAAAUAAAUAAAAUUAAAAAAUUCAAACAAAGAAAAUAAUUGAAAUAGUCAGGCACACACUGCUUCUCCGCCCACUUCCGGCCUCGGCCGGUUCUGCAUGGUGGGGAGGGGGGAUUUUUAACUCAUCACUCUUUUUCAAAACAGCGCGGUAAACAAGAUGACGUCGCAGCUCAUCUCUUCUCCUGCUUUUCUUCCGUUGUUACAAAGGACACGAUUCAAUGAAUCAUUCAAUCGAUGUACUUGUAUUUCUGAGACAGUACACAACGCUAUAUUAGGGAGGUCAGAGAUGAUUAUCCUUGAGGGUCGUGUGAUUUGUGAGGCCGUAUACCCAAGAUUUCGGACUGCAAGAUUUCUACUGUUCGCAAUGUACUACGUCUUAAAUCUUCAGUAUCCAGCAUGUGGCACAUUGGAUUUUAUUUAUAGACAAUUUGUCGGAUAAACCCUGAAAAAAGCUCGAAGACCAGCAAAGUCAAGGUCGUUAAGAAAACUGGAAAGAAUGUGAAUAAGAAGACUGCUACUGUCAACCCAGAAGUUGCAUCCCUCCUAAAGAACCUCAUCCGUUUCGAAUGGGAUUUUGUCUAGACCUGGAUUUCCUCUCAAGCCAGAGCAAUCAGAAGCUGGAGUAAGACACUUACAUUUUUUUCCAACAAUUAGUUUGAUUAAUGUGUUCUUCAUUUCAUGCCAGGUUUUUAAAAUAUGUUGUGCCAUGCUGGCAGUUUUUUCUUCUUGUUGUAAGUUUGUUUUUAGCUCCUUGAGUUGCACUUUUUUCUGUGAUUUCUGUUUUUAACUCUUUCCCGCCAUUGACAAGUUUUUAUAGCAAUCCGUAUUUCCGCUAUUAUGGCGCUCUUACCCAACUUAUACAACCUGGAAGCAACCCCUCAGGUCAAACAAUUCAAACUCAGUGUAUGUUUUGAUUAUUGCUCCAGAUUUCUAUCAGAAGUCUUUUGAAGAAACCUACACAUAUUUGAGAGGUGGUAAAAAAAGAACUAAUUAAGGUAGGAUGAAUUUUUUUUAUUGUUGUUUGAAAGCAGAGGGGUUUGUUAUUUUAUUUGAUUCGAUUUGAUAUAUUGAAGGUUUAUAUAGUUAAAGAAGAAUGUUUUCUUGAAGGCAUUAAACUUUUGUAAAAAUCUUUUAAAACGCUGGCACUGGCUGUCAACUUUUUUUAAAAAACACUGGCGGGGAAAGAGUUAACAUACUGUUAAAUUCACUUUAACUGUUACUCCGUAGCUCCUUCAAUUGCACUUUAUUUUUGUGAUGUGGUCUUACUUUACCCUGUGGUUGCUUUUUAAUGGCACCUUUUCUCUGUGACAGUGCAUUUAUUGUUAAACAUACUUGUAGAUGUUUACAGUGCUAAAAGAUUGUUUAAAGAUUGUAAUAACAGUUGUAUUAAUAAAUGGAAAAUUGAGCACUAUGUCAGUCAUUUCUCUUUUUUUAUUAGUUGUUAGGAUAUCAGACAGUAGAGUAAAUAUUAACUAACUUGUGUUAUGUUUCACAACUUAAAAAUGUAAGAAAACAAACCGUAAUGAGUGUGUAUAAUUAUAAGAAAUUGCUGGAACCAUUGCUGCAAGUACUUCACUGUAAAAUUACGGCACAACUGUAAAAUGGA
Paramisgurnus dabryanus is the source of this 1959-nucleotide long non-coding RNA. RefSeq lists it as uncharacterized. NCBI's taxonomy places the organism in Eukaryota, Metazoa, Chordata, Actinopteri, Cypriniformes, Cobitidae. The record is from RefSeq and is a predicted model, not a curated record.